Molecule: long non-coding RNA, 626 nt
Organism: Helianthus annuus (common sunflower)
Lineage: Eukaryota; Viridiplantae; Streptophyta; Magnoliopsida; Asterales; Asteraceae
Exons: 2
Source: RefSeq, a predicted model, not a curated record
UGUAAAUAGCAGAUAAACAUCAAUAAAACCCUACCUAAAAACAAAAACUCCGAUCAAAACCGUCAUGGCACCACCGUCUGCCGCCGACGCCGGAAUUCCGACGCCAAAAAAGUCGUUAGGUUUCGUGGCUAACGCAAUCAAACAAAAACACAGCUUCAUCCAGUUCUUCGCCAUGACCGGAAUCUUCCUGCUGAGCAUGCGAUCGGUAGGUCAAAAAUACCGAAUUCAGGAUCUAGAGGACGAUACCGCCACUUUGGAGAAAGAACACAAUUCACUCACCGAUCGCAUGAAUCACAUCAAGAGUAGUCUUCUCGCUGAAGCAGCUCUCGAUUCCACCGGUACUUUCGCCGCAAAGCUCCGUGUUCUGUUUAGCGACAGUUAAUUGUCUACGCCGAUGUCUUUUACAAAAUUCUCACCUACAUGCACUGAUGAACUACGACUAGAACUCUAGAAGAUGUGGCUGAUGAUUUGGACCAACUAGAAGAUGUUGACUGUGUUGCUAAUAUUAACUGUAUGAAUUGUUUUCAUCUUCAUCUCCGAAGUAUAAAGAUUUUGGUAGAGAUUUACAUUCACAUAUCCAAAAUUUACUUUAAUCAAUAAUCACAAAUGGUCUUUCGAUUGGUCAA